RNAcentral lists this non-coding RNA (123 nucleotides) under Fragilariopsis kerguelensis. The record is from RNAcentral. Lineage: Eukaryota; Bacillariophyta; Bacillariophyceae; Bacillariales; Bacillariaceae.
ACACGCUUCUUCUUCUUCAUCUUCUUCUCUUGUUUUGUUUUUUGUUUUGUACUACUACUCGUAAUUGUACGAUGCAAAGAGAAGAAGGAGAGACAGGAUGUAAAAAUACAAGAAGAGGAGUAA